GUAGUCCACGCCGUAAACGGUGCGCACUAGGUGUCGGGGGUAUUCACCCCUCCGGUGCCGAAGCUAACGUACUAAGUGCGCCGCCUGGGAAGUACGGCCGCAAGGCUAAAACUCAAAGGGAUUGACGGGGGCCCGCACAAGCGGUGGAGCAUGUGGUUCAAUUCGAUGCAACGCGAAGAACCUUACCUGGUCUUGACAUCUCGGGAAUCUCCCUGAAAAGGGAGAGUGCCUUCGGGAGCCCGAUGACAGGUGCUGCAUGGCUGUCGUCAGCUCGUGUCGUGAGAUGUUGGGUUAAGUCCCGCAACGAGCGCAACCCUUGUCUCUAGUUGCCAGCGGUUCGGCCGGGCACUCUAGAGAGACUGCCGGUGUCAAACCGGAGGAAGGUGGGGAUGACGUCAAGUCCUCAUGGCCUUUAUGACCAGGGCUACACACGUGCUACAAUGGCCGGUACAAAGGGCAGCGACGCCGCGAGGCGAAGCAAAUCCCAAAAAGCCGGCCCCAGUACGGAUUGCAGUCUGCAACUCGACUGCAUGAAGUUGGAAUCGCUAGUAAUCGCAGAUCAGCACGCUGCGGUGAAUA
Molecule: ribosomal RNA, 579 nt
Filed under: uncultured delta proteobacterium
Lineage: Bacteria; Deltaproteobacteria
Description: bacterial SSU rRNA
Rfam family: Bacterial small subunit ribosomal RNA
Source: RNAcentral